UGGGGAAUAUUGGACAAUGGGCGCAAGCCUGAUCCAGCCAUGCCGCGUGAGUGAUGAAGGCUUUAGGGUUGUAAAGCUCUUUCGCCGAUGAAGAUAAUGACGGUAGUCGGAGAAGAAGCCCCGGCUAACUUCGUGCCAGCAGCCGCGGUAAUACGAAGGGGGCUAGCGUUGUUCGGAAUUACUGGGCGUAAAGCGAGCGUAGGUUGUGCCGCAAGUCAGGGGUGAAAUCCCAGAGCUUAACUCUGGAACUGCCUUUGAAACUGCGGUGCUAGAAUCUCAGAGGGGGUAGCGGAAUUCCAAAUGUAGGGGUGAAAUCCGUAGAUAUUUGGAGGAACACCGGUGGCGAAGGCGGCUACCUGGAUGAGUAUUGACACUGAGGCUCGAAAGCGUGGGGAUCAAACAGGAUUAGAUACCCCCGUAGUCC
Molecule: ribosomal RNA, 424 nt
Filed under: uncultured bacterium
Lineage: Bacteria
Description: bacterial SSU rRNA
Rfam family: Bacterial small subunit ribosomal RNA
Source: RNAcentral